Molecule: ribosomal RNA, 305 nt
Filed under: uncultured bacterium
Lineage: Bacteria
Description: bacterial SSU rRNA
Rfam family: Bacterial small subunit ribosomal RNA
Source: RNAcentral
ACCUACGGGGGGCAGCAGUGAGGAAUAUUGGUCAAUGGGCGAGAGCCUGAACCAGCCAAGUCGCGUGAAGGAUGACGGCCCUAUGGGUUGUAAACUUCUUUUGUCAGGGAGCAAUUGGGUCCACGCGUGGGCUUAGCGAGAGUACCUGAAGAAAAAGCAUCGGCUAACUCCGUGCCAGCAGCCGCGGUAAUACGUAGGGGGCAAGCGUUAUCCGGAUUUACUGGGUGUAAAGGGAGCGUAGACGGCAGCGCAAGUCUGGAGUGAAAUGCCGGGGCCCAACCCCGGAACUGCUUUGGAAACUGUGC